RNAcentral lists this ribosomal RNA (261 nucleotides) under Triticum aestivum (bread wheat). RNAcentral describes it as "partial small subunit ribosomal RNA". The record is from RNAcentral. Lineage: Eukaryota; Viridiplantae; Streptophyta; Magnoliopsida; Poales; Poaceae.
AUGUGUGUCCCUAAAAUCUGAGAAGGAAUGGGAUUCCUUGAAAUCCCCAGUUUUAAUUUGGCUGUGCUUGCCAAACAGUGUUGGCAGCUAAUUGAUAAUUAUGACUCCCUGUGUGCUAAAGUUUUGAGAUCAAAUUACUACCUCUCUAAUGACUAGCUAAAUUGCGCACUAAAAAAGGGUUCAUCCUAUGUAUGGCAAAGCAUUUAUUUAGAAAUCCAGACACUAAAAAAAGACGUAUUUGAAGAGUUGGAAAAGGUUUGA